Molecule: ribosomal RNA, 253 nt
Filed under: uncultured bacterium
Lineage: Bacteria
Description: partial 16S ribosomal RNA
Rfam family: Bacterial small subunit ribosomal RNA
Source: RNAcentral
UACGGAGGGUCCAAGCGUUAUCCGGAUUUAUUGGGUUUAAAGGGUCCGUAGGCGGGUUAUUAAGUCAGUGGUGAAAUCCUACAGCUCAACUGUAGAACUGCCAUUGAAACUGGUAACCUUGAGUAUAAUUGAAGUGGGCGGAAUGUGUCAUGUAGCGGUGAAAUGCUUAGAUAUGACACAGAACACCGAUUGCGAAGGCAGCUCACUAAGUUAUAACUGACGCUGAGGGACGAAAGCGUGGGUAGCGAACAGG